GGAGAGGUGUCCGAGCUGGUCGAAGGAGCACGAUUGGAAAUCGUGUGUACGUUAAAAGCGUACCGAGAGUUCGAAUCUCUCCCUCUCCGCCA
RNAcentral lists this transfer RNA (92 nucleotides) under Candidatus Desulfovibrio gallistercoris. RNAcentral's name for it is "tRNA-Ser". It matches the Rfam family "tRNA". From Rfam's summary of the family: Transfer RNA (tRNA) molecules are approximately 80 nucleotides in length. Their secondary structure includes four short double-helical elements and three loops (D, anti-codon, and T loops). RNAcentral also lists the same sequence under 1 other name. Lineage: Bacteria; Pseudomonadati; Thermodesulfobacteriota; Desulfovibrionia; Desulfovibrionales; Desulfovibrionaceae. The record is from RNAcentral.